UGCUCACUAAGGUGGCGCCCUGGCGGAGUACUCAGAGCAUACUCAUAGCCAGAGGAGCUUAAGUUUGUCUCUAGCGAGGAAAUGAAGUUAGAGACAGGAAUGGUGUUUCCAGCGCAUAAUAAUUCUAGCUUUAAGCCAAUUUCUUUUUCGAUUAUUUAAGGAUUUUGUCUCACAAAGAAUCUCAAGGCCAUUUAGACAAAAAGGGCCCACCUCCUCCUCGGAAUGGCCCCAGCCUAUUGGCUCAAUCUCAUGCCCAUCAGCACCGGAAACUGGUGAUGAGUUCUCAGGGCUCGGCGGAGUUCUUUUGGGUAUUGUAGUCCUGAGGGCUGGAGGACAAGCCUGCUUUCCUCUUUUCUUUCGUUCUUUUCGGGAGGAAUUUUUUUUUUUUGCACUUCCGGAAGUAGAACAGCAACCUCAGUACUCCCGGUGAGGGGCGGAGCGUUUGCCUUCAAUCCCCUCUGGCUUUGUGGACAGAGGCUGCUCGAGGCUCCUUGAGAUCGCAUGCUUCUCAAAAGACCUCACAUUCCUCUGCCUUCAGAGCUGGAUUCAGGCUCCCUGGAUAAUCUGGAGACCUCAAAGUGGAGUCCACAGGCUGGCACCAUUGGCUUCUCAGGAUCACUUCAGUGCGGAAGAGUGAGGAGAGCUGUGGACAGGGUGCUGCAGCUCUAUCUGACAGAUUUUAUGCAAGAUGUGGAAUACUUUAAGUUCUUGAGGAAGAACUCUUGAUCUUGAUCUUGAGGGGUCUAGGAGAGCCAUAGCAGAUGAUUUCCAUGUGAGGAGUUUGAUGAAGGAAGAUGAAGCAGUAUUGGGGAAGGGCAUUAUGGAGUAAAAGGUUCCCUGGCAUGGUAAGGGAAUUCUUCCCCAGGGCCCUUUAUUCCCCCUCCCUCAACCAUGGCUCCAGGCUCUUUUCUCUGACUGAAACAAAACAAAACUAAAGCAAACAAAAAGAAAGCCCUGUCUGGUUCAUGGAUCCUUUACCUUUGUGAUUCCUAGAGAAUCUGAAAGUCUCCUUUCACCAGGUCUUUUCUCUCCCCAUGGCUGACAAAUUCAUUCUCCUCACCUUAUAUCUGGUCUCACCUUUCCUGCCUUACUUGGAUAGUGGUGAAAGAGAUAGAAUUAAGUGUAUUGUUCUCAGAAUGAGUAAUCAGCGUGCACCCCAUUUCUUCUAGGCAAAAACACAGUUUAAUACCUAGUUUUUAUCCUAACUAAGGAAGGGUAUAUGGAGUCUAGUUUGUUGCUUUUGAUAACCAUUUUAUCUAAAAGUCCCAGUGAGGAGCCCUUGAAGAGUGACAGAUAACAAGGAACAAAGGGCCCCAAUUCAAGGGCAAUUGGCAGUUCCAUUACUCCUUUAUCUCUUAAAGGAAAGUAGAAUGUAACUUUUUCUUUAUAUUGUUCUAAGUUAGAAACCUCCCUCUUCAAGAUUGUAUGUCACAGCUUCUUCAACUAGAGAACCCCUUCUCCAUCCUGUGACAGGAAAGGGAGGAAGUGGGAGAAGAAGAUUUGUGAUUAGAGAUUCCUGUAUAUAUAUAUAUAUAUAUAUAUAUAUAUUGAGGGUCUUUGCUUAAUUCUUUGGUACUUGCCAUUAAGGCAUCUUCUCCUUUUCAUGAAAAUAAAAUUAAACUGGGCUCCUUUUACUCUGACUCUCCAAAUCCAGUUUUUUGCAAAUGGGGCAUUCAUGCUUGUUAUCUUAUCCCACACAGUGGUGUGUAGAGUGCAGCAGCCCCCUGCUUUGAGACAGUGUGAACUCCAUUUUGUACACAUGUGACUUGUCCAGUUAGCAACCCAAUAAAUCCUGUAGAUUGGGAAAAACCCUACUUUUGGGGAGGGUAUGCACCCCAAAGUCACUCUAAUGAGUAGACAGGAGACUUUGCUAAGAUGCUGACAGGUUGUAGCUUUAUUUGGAGAAAAGAAGUGGGGGAAGGGAGGAGAGAGGGAGGAGAAGGGAAGGAAAAGGAAUUCUGCCCAUAUAAGCUGCUUGUUCUGUGCAAAAAUGUCCUCUCUCUACAUGUAAACAUAAACUUUUAUUAUAAUGUUGAUGCAAGAUUCCCCCUGCCCUCGUCCAACCCUGUACAAGAUGGGGCUGUGACAUUCACAGUCUUGAGUGUGUGAUUUUCAACAUUAUGUACCUCUAAAGACCCCCAUGAUCAAAACUCAGUGACUAUCAUGUGAUUUUCAGUUGCAGACAGUAAAGAUAUAUAUGAAACUCCCUGCUCCUUCCUCCUUCAGCUCAUCUUGCCCCUCUUCCUAGAGCUGGCUUAUUUCCCAAGUUACAGAUAAACUCUUCUCAGGGUUUUUGAAAAUAAAUCAGGAAAACUAAAAAUUUUAUGGAGGGGGGCAGCUUUAUUCUAAGGCUAAGUCUAAAUAGGGUUUUGAAAAUUGGGAUUACACACCAAAUACUACUCUGAGAAUUACACACUGAAUCUCAUCCCACACAGUGGAAAAGUACUGUACUUGGAACCAGAGGAAGCCUCAUGCUCUUCUACUUAAUACUUUUGUGGCCAUGGGCAAGUCCCUUUGCUGUUCUGGGACUCAGUUUCCUCAUCUGGAAAAUAAAGUUGACCGAUCACUGAAGUACUUUCUAGCAUUAAAAUCCUGUGAACCUAAAUUGGUGUUAUUAUUUAUCACACUAAUUUCUCCACAGAUUCAACUCCAGUCUUUCCCUACGCUCCACCCUCUUUGUCCUCCACAUCCUCAUCCUCAGACCCUUUUGUGAUCCAGGUGUAACAAAUGUUUCAACAACCUCUCCCACAGGGGAAAUACACUAGAGCUUUAAGAGCCAAAUGGAAUGUUUAUGGUUGCAAUGGCUGUUAGGGCCAGCAGUUUUUGAGAAAACUGAGAAGAGAGACUUGAUGUUUUAUUCUGAUUUUAUUGGGAAAACAGAAAGAAGGUGAAAACUUCUUUUUUGAGAAAACUGUCAGCUUUUAUUUUAUGAAGAAACAUUAUAAAGAGACUUAUAAGAAAUAAAUUUGAAGAGAUUCUUCAGUGAUGGUUGAGAGAAAUUGCAGAGACUUUUCCUGUCAUGACUUAGGAGAAGCUGAGGAAGACAAGAGAAGCCAUCUUUUACUUAUGGGACUGUUUUAACGUUUAUCUUGAGAAGAGGAAGAAGAGAAUUAUUAUUAUUUUUUUAAAAAACCCUUACCUUCCGUCUUGGAGUCAAUACUGUGUAUUGGCUCCAAGGCAGAAGAGUGGUAAGGGCUAGGCAAUGGGGGUCAAGUGACUUGCCCAGGGUCACACAGCUGGGAAGUGGCUGAGGCCAGAUUUGAACCUAGGACCUCCCGUCUCUAGGGCUGACUCUUAAUCCACUGAGCUACCCAGCUGCCCCCGAAGAAGAGAAUUAUUGAGAAAAGAAUUUGCUUGGUAUCUUGAGUGAACUGUAUGGUGGAACUGUGAUCUCAGAAGUUAAGAGAAGACUUUGGCCAUUCUAGUGAGAGUUUGGGAUGACUGGUCAUGAUCCUUCUCAAAGCUAGAAUAUUAUAUAAAAAACCAUCUAUAUUAUUGAUUUCAUUGUUAAUACAUUGUAUAUGUAGUAACUUUAAUAUUCAUUUAAUGCUGGGAGAUUAAGAUUCAGUAUAUAGAGAGAUGGUAAAGGAGAUUUCUCUGGAAUAUUAAAUAAAUGCUAUUUGAUAAA
RNA transcript from Monodelphis domestica (gray short-tailed opossum), 3628 nucleotides. RefSeq lists it as uncharacterized. The record is from RefSeq and is a predicted model, not a curated record. NCBI's taxonomy places the organism in Eukaryota, Metazoa, Chordata, Mammalia, Didelphimorphia, Didelphidae.